Molecule: RNA transcript, 10961 nt
Organism: Myxocyprinus asiaticus (Chinese sucker)
Lineage: Eukaryota; Metazoa; Chordata; Actinopteri; Cypriniformes; Catostomidae
Gene name: ubiquitin carboxyl-terminal hydrolase 15-like
Exons: 13
Source: RefSeq, a predicted model, not a curated record
AGUGAAUGAAGAUGGCGGAAGGUGGUGCGGCGGAUGCGGAGACGCAGAGAGGAGAGAUUGCGACGCUGCUCAAAACGCCGCUACGCAGAGCUGACACAUGGUAUUUGGUGGACAGUCACUGGUUCAAAAAGUGGAAGAAAUAUGUCGGCUUUGACAGCUGGGACAAAUAUCAGAUGGGUGAUCAGAACGUCUAUCCUGGACCGGUGGAUAACUCAGGCCUGCUCAAAGAAAAAGAUGUGCUGGGCAUUAAGGAGCACCUCAUCGAUGAACUGGAUUAUAUCCUGGUGCCAACGGAGGGCUGGAGUAAGUUAGUGAGCUGGUACGGACUAACAGAUGGACAGGAGCCCAUUGCACGUAAGGUGGUGGAGCAGGGAAUGUUCGUGAAACACUGUAAGGUGGAAGUCUACCUUACCGAACUGAAACUAUGUGAAGACAGCAACAUAGACAAUGUCAUCACGAGAAGAUUCAGCAAAGCAGACACCAUAGACUCCAUUGAACGAGAGAUGCGGAAAUUAUUCAGUAUUCCAGACGAGAAGGAGACCCGGUUAUGGAAUAAAUACAUGAGCAACACGUUUGAGCCACUCAAUAAACCAAACAGCACCAUUCAGGAUGCCGGACUCUACCAGGGACAGAUUCUAGUUAUUGAGCAGAAGAAUGAAGAUGGCACUUGGCCUCGCGGCUCCACACUGAAGUCAUCUGGCUCUUCCACACAAUCUGCUUUACCAAAGAUCUGCUCUUCAUCCCUCACAAACAAUCAUAACAGCAGCUUCAGCGGCCGCAAUUUGAAGAACUCCAGCUACAGUCUGCCAUCGUAUCCUCCAUAUAACAGUUUUGAGUACUCAGACCAGCGGCGCGGUGAGAAGGCCGGACAGUGUGGUCUGUCGAACCUUGGCAACACCUGCUUCAUGAACUCUGCCACACAGUGUUUGAGUAAUAUCCCUCCACUGACCGAGUUCUUCCUGAAAGAUAAGUACCAGGAUGAGUUGAAUGAAGAGAACCCUUUAGGAAUGAAGGGAGAGAUCGCCAAAGCUUACGCCGAACUCAUCAAACAGCUCUGGUCUGCCAAAUACAAUUAUGUCACACCAAGACCAUUCAAGACUCAGGUGGGCAAGUUUGCUCCUCAGUUCUCGGGGUAUCAGCAGCAGGACUCUCACGAGCUGCUGGCCUUUCUUCUGGAUGGUCUUCAUGAAGAUCUGAACCGCAUCAGGAAGAAGCCCUACAUUCAGCUCAAAGAUGCUGACGGCCGACCGGACAAGGUGGUGGCAGAGGAAGCGUGGGAGAACCAUAUCAAGAGGAAUGACUCCAUCAUCGUGGAUAUUUUUCAUGGUCUUUUCAAGUCCACUCUGGUCUGUCCCGUGUGCGCAAAGAUCUCUGUGACCUUUGACCCCUUCUGCUAUUUGACACUUCCUCUGCCCUUGAAGAAGGAGCGCACGCUGGAGGUGUAUCUGGUGUGGCUGGACCCCCUCACCAAACCCACACAGGCCUCUUUAUAACCAGACUCAACCCUGCAGGCGAAAGAACAUCUAUGUUAAGCUCACUUAUAUAUAUACAUACACACUGCCAUUCAAAAGUUUGGGGCCACUUGACUGAAGUGUUUCUCAUGAUCUUAAAAAUCUUUUGAUCUGAAGGUGUAUGCUUAAAUAUUUGAAAUUAGUUUUGUAGACAAAAAUAUAAUUGUGCCAACAUAUUAAUUUAUUUCAUUAUAAAAUUACAGUUGCAUUAAAAAAAAAAAAAAAGUUUUUUUAAAUUGAUGACUUGGACUGAACAAAAAAAAAAAGCAGCUAAUAAGUGCCCAGUAUUGAUGGGAACUCCUUCAAUACUGUUUAAAAAGCAUCCCAGGGUGAUACCUCAAGAAGUUGGUUGAGAAAAUGUCAAGAGUACAUGUCUGCAAAUUCUAGGCAAAGGGUGACUACUUUGAAGAUGCUAAAAUAUAACAGAGUUUUGAUUUAUUUUGGAUUUUUUUAGUCACAACAUAAUUCCCAUAGUUCCAUUUAUGUUAUUCCAUAGUUUUGAUGACUUUACUAUUAUUCUAAAAUGUGAAAAAUAAUAAUAAUAAAGAAUGAAUAAGUGACCCUAAACUUUUGACCGGUAGUGUGUGUGUUUGUGUGUAUAUAUAAAACCUGAUACUUUUGAAAAGGAGGGAGAUACCUAUGUAGGGCAGGUACAAUCAUUUCAGGCUGACUUUGAACAAAUUAAGGUUUAUAUAUUGGACAUUAAAAAUUAAGUGCAGUAAACAGAGAAACCGGAAAGGGCAGUGGUAGAUUAUUUCCUGAGGAGUGACAUCCAACUUUUCUCCCUAACAUUGUCCCAAGACUCUAGUUAAUACCCAAAGAGUAAAUGUUAUGCCUCGUAGUCAUUUGAGUACUACAUAUACUGUAGAGCCUGACUGAUAUGGGAUUUUUGAGACCGAUACCGAUUUUAGAGAGGGAAAAUUUACAGAAUACCGAUAUGGUAACCAAUAUAGUUUAAUUUUUGAGCUGGAAUGAAACCAGACCUUUUCUAUGUGGAUUGUGCACUGAUUUUGCACCGAUAUGACUAUGCAAAGGUACUCAGAAGGCUACUUUCUAAAAACAAAUAUUUUUAUCAAAGAAUAUUUGACAUUAUUAUUAUGCAUUGCCAACAAAUUCUAGAAUUGAACACUGAGAAAAUAAAGAAUAAAUAAAAAUACAAUAAACAGCUUAAAAAACAUCAGUACUGUAUGUUUAGUAUCAGUCAGCUGCUGACCAUUUAAAUAAAGAAUAAAUUAAAAUACAAUAAAUAGCUAAAACAUCAGUACUGUAUAUUUAGUAUCAGUCAAAUGCUGACCAUUAAAAUAAAUAAAUAAAAAUAAAAUAAAUAGCUAAAUAAACAUCAGUACUGUAUGUUUAGUAUCAGUCAAAUGCUGACUAUAUUAAUAUUGCAGCAUUGUUACAUCGUAUUCUGCUAUACAAGUUCAGGGGAAACUUUUAACAAUGGAAAACCAGACUUUUAAAUAUUACAUUUUAUAAAUGCAACGACUGGAAUUGUUUGGUUGAAGGGGGUACCAAACUGUGAAUCCUGAAUAAAACAGUUUGGUGAAUACAUGUUUACACAUUAGCUUACACUCAGCUGACAACAAUGAAAGUAGCUACGUGGUUAGCUAGUUAGCUAUAAGCUCAUUGUCACGGAGAGUAAAAGAUGGACAUUGUUUAUUUACUUUCCAGCAUUGGCGUCUCACCAACUAGGUAACAACAUGAAAUCAACACUCAACAGACACAAUCCACCACUGCACCGUUGUCUGCUGAGCUGCAAAAAGAUGCUCUGAUGUUUACCUUUCAAUCUGCUACAUUACUGACUACACUGACAAACUAUAGCUGGCUAACAUAGUAAACAGGUGUGAUAGCAUGAGUGACAUGGUUGUCAGGGACAGGGUUAAUGUUAUAUUAGUUAUAUUGAAAAGGGAAAAUGAUGGGGUCAUUGUUUAUUAACUUUCCAGUAUGUAUUGCACAAACUAGUUAGCAACUUACAGAGAAGACUGUAUCCUGCUUAUCUCUGCCCUGUCUGCAGAUCCUGAGUCGGAGCACGGUCUGCUGGACAAACUACGUUAUGACACCAAUUCUAAAGCAUUGUUUUCUGCAUUAUAUGUUCUGAAAAAAAUGCAUUUACACCCGAGGUGGUAGUGUGGUGAUGAUGCAACUUUUACACCUCGGUAUGUAGAUUAAUUUUCAAUAAUUCAACGAUCAAAGUCCGCUUAUACCGCCGUCACAUGUAGGGCCCUAUGAUUUCUGUGAUGUGGAAAACACAGAUGGAAUUACUGAAUUCAGUCAUAAAGUUGCAUUAGCUAUAAAAUGUGAAAUGUCAUGGAAUUUGACAUAUUUGGGACGAAUAUGAAUGUUUGAAUGCACAACUAAUUAAAAUCUCAAUAUGUCCAAGUGUGAUUAUUAAACCGCAACAAGCUGUGAUUCAAUUAAAUAAAUAUAUAAUCUGCUUGUGAUGUGUGCUUAAAAAUGAAUGUGUGAAGCCGGCUGCUCGUAUGUUGAAAACACCUCAACAUGAGCAUCUGUGUGUGUAGUAGAUGACAGUAAGCAGAGCACUCUGAAGCGUGCAGCACAUACAAACUAUAUAUUUAUUUAGAUGAAAUCAUAGCUUUUUGGACUUUAAUAAUCACACUGGGCCAUGUAGCGAACUGCUUAUCUGGAGGUGCGAAACUGGCGUCACGUUUUAAUGAACGCAUGAAAUGGGAAAAAAAGAUCAUGAUUAAUGUAGUUAAAUAAUAAUAAUGUAUUAAAGCAAUAUCUCGCAUCUGUGAUGUUCUGUUGUGCAGCACUUCAUUUGACAAAAAUAUCUCCAGUAUUUCGGAUUAUGCUGUGAGGAUUUUGUAGAAAAGCAAUUAAUUUGAUAAACAUAAUGCAAUGUUAUUUUAAUUAAUUAAAUUUUUUAACAUAAUUAUAUUUUCAGUUGAUUCAAGUUUUAAAUUAAUUUGAUUAGGCACCAUUUUGAUGAUGAAUGUUUUUUAUUAUUAACAAUUUUUAUUGAUUCCAUUCAACAAAUUAAAUAAACAUAACAGAAAAUGCGGAAUCAAAUUCUAUAAAAUUAAACCCUUCCCCCCCGAACAUUCAACCCCACCCCCCAUUCUUUAUGUAUUUAUCCCCUAUAUUAAUGACCGCCCCAUCGCCUAAUAUACAGAGUCUGGGGCAAAAUGAAAUUUGAGUGCCCAAUACGUCACACAUAAAACUCUGAACCCACAAACAAAAUUCUUGGAUCUUAACACACUACCAGAAAACAUGGGUUGUGCCUCUACUGAUUGGCAUCGCCAGCAGGUGGGUGUGUCUUUAAGACCAAGCCUAUACAAUCUAGAGGGGGUCCAAUAGAAUCAAUUUAAAAUCUUGAAUUGCAUAAGGCGCACCCUUGCAUCUCUAGAUGUAGACUUGACAUUUUGUAGAAUCCUAGCCCACACUCUCUCCUACAAUACCAAGUUUAAAUCUAUCUCCCAUAAUCUCUUGAGAGAAGUUGAAGCUCCAUCCCCCAGACUCUGAAUUAGCAGAUAGUAAUACACUGAUGCCUCAUGACCUUUUUCAAAAGCAGUAAUCACCACUCCCAGAGUAUCUGCCGCUUUCGGGGGGUGUAUGCUAUUCCCAAAAAUAGUACAGAGCAGGUGUCGCAGCUGUAAAUACCUAAAGAACUGAGACCUGGGAAAUCCAAAAUGUUGAACCAUAAUUUCAAAGGAUCUCAACACUCCACUCUCAUAUAGGUCACCGAGUGUAUUAACCUCCCUCACAAUCCACUCUGUCCAGCAGAAAAGGGACUUAUACUUAAUUUGGGGUUCAGCCAUAUGCUCGAGGCUACAUUUAAAUAAAUGUCCGAAUUAAACACUUUUGUCCAUACCGAGUGCAAAUGUGAAAUGACGGGGUGUAACUUCUCUGGUUAGUUUGAUAGAAAGGCUUUGCAAUUGUGAAAUAGGGGCAAGAACUUUGUGUUCAAUACAAAACCAAGGAGGGGCUCUCUCAGGUGGGAGCGACCAAUGAGCCAAAUAUCUGAGACCAAAUGCAUAAUAAUAAAACAAAAUCUUGGGUAGGCCUAGCCCACCUUUGUCAAUUGGCCUAUGUAAUUUACUGAAAUAUAAUCUGAGACGUUUACCAUUCCAAAUGAAGGACUUCGCUAUGCUAUCAAAUUGCUUGAAAUAAGAGAGGGGGACAUCUAUAGGGAGAGAUUGUAGCAGGUAGGAAUUUUGGAAUACAAUUCAUUUUAAUAACAUUAACCUUCCCAGUCAUAGAUAAAUGUAAUGAAGCCCAUCUACCCACAUCGAAAACCUUUUUAUUAAAGGGUCAAAAUUAAAUCUAACUAAAUCACACAUAUUUGCUGGGAAUAAAAUGCCCAAAUACUUAAUGCCCUGUUUGGCCACUGGAAGGCGCCCGGCUGAAAAGCCGUUACCGGGCAGUAUGCUGUCAGAGCCAAAGCUUUGUAUUUAACAAACUGACUCUGUAUUCUGAGAAUUUAGAAAAGGAAUUAAUAAUUCUGUGGAGGCAAGGCAUAGAUCUAGUAGGGUUGGAGACAAAUAAUAAAAUAUCAUCUGCAUAAAGCAAAAGCUUAUGAGCCACACCUCCUGCCACCACCCGGUGCUCUAGGGGGCUUGCACGCUUUUGCUCCACUCAUAUUAACAUUUGACAUUUUGACAUACAAGAAAAAAUGUAUCAUGUGUAAAAACAAGAUUAUAAAGACCACAUUCCAACAUUAGUGAAACCAUCAAAACCUGAACAGCCCCCAGAACCAAACAAAAAGAACGUGCGCAUUAACCCCGUGCACGAAAGCACCAACUGGCAUCCAACCCUCUAAACUCAAACAGUCCAUGCACGCCUACGAGAACCCCCAUGACAAUUUUGCCAUCGGAUUACUCAAGUCCCGUGUUCCUAUACAAAUUUUGUGAGACAGAAUUACAUAGCAAAAGAUAAUCUACAAAAUAAACUCCAGCCGCUAGGCGGAACCAGCACAAAAAAAGCAUGCAGAUUCGUCAAACAGUCAAACGAAUGUUCAGUGAGCCGGUCCACUCGGCUGCAACAUGAGUGCAAACAAAUGACUUAAUCACUCCAAUAUCUUUGCAAGAAAUACUCCACAAAACAAACUCCAGCCAAUUGGAGGAAUAAGUACAAAGAGCAUGUAGAUUCAUCUAUAAAACUUUCCUGAAUGUGUGUUACUCUACAAAUGAAACUCCAGCCGCUAGGCGGAACCAGCAAAAAAAAAGCACUCAGUUUCCUCAAACAGUCAUGUGAAUAUUCAGUAAGCCGGUCCACUCAGCUGCAACGUGAGUACCACAAGAUGACUUACUCACUCCAUUGACUUUAUGAAGGACAUCGCUUGCUGUGAGCAUGUGAAUGUUUUACAGCCAUCCUUAGCAUCUAUUCUCAAUUUGGCUGGGAAUGUCAGUACAAAAGCAACCUUUUGUUGAUGUAAAAUUUUCUUGCAUUCCUUGCAUCGAUCACGUUUCUCUCUGGGAAAAAGAAAAUGCUGUGGUUUUUCUAAGAAAGCCUUCCUUUACUCCUCGCCUCGCAUAACACAAGAUUUUUAUUGGAAGAUCUCAGAAAUUUGGCCAGAAUUGAUCGGGGCCUGUCUCCCUCCACGGAUUGCCAAGCAGGAACCCUGUGAGCUGGCUCGAUUUCCAGCUUAUGGCCUGCUAUGUCAAGAAGAUUCGGAAGGAGUUAGUCAGACCGGUGGUGCCCCGGCCUGAAUCGUGAGGAGGAGGAGGGUGUGGUUGGGCCGUGAUGGAGCAUGGCCAGCGCUGAAUCGGCUGAUCAGCGGGAGAGUGAGAUAAAGGGCAGCCGGAGACUAUGAUUCUGGAGAGAGAGAGAGAGACGCACGCGGCCGCAUUGCAUGUGUGUCAUUAUGUGUAUGUUUGUUUUAUGUUGAGUUUCUGAAUAAACUUUACAUUGACUGUUCAACCGGUUUCCGCCUCCUCCUUGCCCGUCCUUAUACUGUUUCACAUACUAAAGUAUGCUGUCAUUAGCAAAAUGUAAUGUAAUGUGAGAGUUUUGAGAUGAAAUCAAAGACCAUUUGAAAAUAAUAAUAAAAAGCCUCUAUAUGGCCAGGUGUGAUCAUUAAACAGCAGAAGGAUGUAAUUUAAUGAAAUAAUAUACAGUCACAUGCGCUGCGCACCACAGUAUGAAUAAGAGGCACCUCUCUGCCCUGUCAUCUCCUUCACACACAGACACACACUAAUAAUGCUUGAGUUUCAUGCACUGUGUCCAAUAGGAUCCAUCUGCAGAGCCACAGAUCAGUGUGUUGAGAUCAGACGGCUGUGAACUCUAUAAUGAACUCUUUCUCCGUAGCAGCUCGGAGAUUUCAGCUGCGAGUCGUGGGAAGCUUGAUAUAACGAACUCUUCACAAACAGGAAGAACUUCAAAGAUCUUUGAAAAUAAAAGUCCCGCUGAAAUGUGAGCCCUAUUCAACUGAUUGCGUGAAAUUGAAGAAAUUGUAAUAUUCAAGUGUAUAAGACAAGUGUAAUAUUCAAAGCAGUCACAAUUAUACUCAUAGUGUCACGGCUCCGGUGAGUUUGCUGGUUUAUUCUGUUGUUUUGUUUUUCUCUCUCCCUCUUGUCUCACAAGAGGGAGAUGCCGGCACGCAUGGUCAGCGUUUCCAUGGGAGCACUGAUUGUUCCCAGGGAGGCGCUGAUCGUGCCACUGAUUAAUGUGCUUGCUACACCUGUUCCACUCUAAUUGCACUCCCUAUUUAAUCCUUGUGUGUCCUCACUAUCUUUGCUAGUUUAUUGUUUGACCUUUCAAGUGUUAACCUUGCUCUCUUUGUAUAGUCGAUGCUGUCUCUUGUAUCUGUUGGUUGCCUGUCUCUGCCCACGUGUCAGAAAGUGUGGUUACCUUCCUGUUUACUGUAUGCCUGUCCUCGCUGCCCACAAAUCACCAGUGGAGGAUUCCUCGUCUUUGCCUGCGCGUCAGGAAAAUGCCAGCCCUUCUUCGCCUGGGCUUUGUUCUUCACCACACCACGCUUCAACAGACACUUCCUAUGGAUCUGCUCCUGACUUCCACAAUGCAAUCACCUGUCUGAGAACACACUCCUCCCUUUGCCCACUGCGCGACCAUUACGUGCUCCAAGACUCGCCUCCUGCCACUGCAGCCGGUGCCGGAUCGCUAGCCUUCACCAGUCCAGUUUCAAUAGACUUUUUCUGUUGUUAAUAAAUCCUUUGAACUGUUCAUCUGCUUUUGGGUCCCUUUGUCUCACUCUCAUUCUGACAGAAUAAACUAGCAUAACAUGGACCCAGCGGAGGAAUCGACUCUUCGCUCCGCCCUCUUGCAGCAAGGAGCCUUGCUGGGCAUGAACAAGACCAAAUCUCCGCUUCGAACCGGGCAUCGGAGAUCCAACAACUCCGCCCAUCUCCCUAUCCCGGCCCAUCUCAAGAUACACCCCCAUCGGCUCUGACGGUUCCCCAUGCCCCUUGGCGCGCAUCCUCCCUCCAGCUCCAUUCUCAGGUGAGUCAGGAUCAGUUAGCGCCUUUCUCCCUACAGCCCUCAACUGCAAUGUGGGACAACUGACAUCCAUGCUACACCACUUAUGAAGCGUUCUCCUCUGAACUUCGCAGAAUGUUUGAUUGCGUGGCUCAAGGUCGGGAGGCUGGGAGGGUCUUAUCCGGACUGUCCCAAGGAGAUUGACGAGUCACUGACUAUGCGAUAAAGUUUCACACCCUGGCCACAUCCUGCGAGUGGAACAACCACAGCAUGUGGGACCUGUUUUUGUGUGGGCUUUCUUAUAAUCGUCCAGGAUGAGAUUUAUCCUUUUGGAUCUUCCCCCUCAUUUCGACAACUUGGUGGACUUGGCUAUCCGAGUCGAUCAACGACUGGCCCUGCACCGUGAUCACCAUCAACGCUGCUCUUCACCCUCUCAGGCGGCUGACCAUUCCCACGACCCACUACUUCGACCAGGUCACCUGAAUCUUGCCCCGACACCGAGCCUAUGCAAGUCGGAAGAACCCCAAUGUCAUGUAAGGAGAAACAGCGACGCCUAGAUAAAGGACUAUGCUUUUCUUGUGCCCUGUCUGGCCACUUCUGUUUUGCCUGCCCGUUAAAAGACACCGCUCAUCAGUAGGAAGGGGGUUACUAGUGAACACAACCCCAUUGGACAAAGCCCCCGGACUUCGUACACUUCUCCCAGCCCAGCUGCAGUAUGGCUCUGCCAGUUACACGGUCUGGGCUCUGGUGAAUUCCGGUGCCGAACGGAACUUCAUUGACAUUGACUUGGCUUCAAAGUGGCUGCUUCCCAGGGUCCAAUUGGACGAACCCAUCACCGCCCACACUCUCAGUGGCACGCCCCGUCAAUCAUCACACAGUCCACUAAGCCAGUCACCCUCGUCUCCAGUAAUCAUUCAGAACAACUGUCCUUUUUAUCUGAUCCAGUCUCCAUCGACCCCGGUAGUGUUGGGGCAUCCUUGUCUUGUGUUUCAUUGCUGGAUGAACUGGCGGAUUUGUCCGAAGUGCCAUUGACGUACCGUGACUUGAGGGCGGUGAUCAGCCGGUCCCACGCCACGACCCUCCCUCCUCAUCGCCCGUACGACUGUGCGAUUGAACUGCUUCCUGGCACCUCUCCUCCUCUGGGAUGGCUGUAUUCGCUCUCAGCUCCCGAGAGGGAGGCUAUGAACAGGUAUAUCAAUGAUUCUCUGGCGGCCGGUUUCAUCCGCCCUUCCUCGUCGCCCACAGGGACGGGGUUCUUCUUCGUGGAGAAGGAUGGCUUGCUUAGACCCUACAUAGAUUAUUGGAGGCUGAAUGACAUCACGGUGAAGAAUCGUUAUCCUUUGCCGUUGAUAUCCUCAGCCUUCGAAAUCUUGCAGGGGGCGUCCGUUUUUACGAAGUUGGACCUACGCAAUGGUUAUCACCUGGUCCGAAUCAGGAAUAGAGUGGAAGACGGACUUUAACACCCAUAGGGGGCACUUCGAAUAUUUGUUUAUGCCUUUCGGAUUGGUCAACGCCCCCGCCGUCUUCAAGGGGCUCAUAAAUGACAUGCUUAGAGACAUGGUUGAUCAUUUUGUGUUUGUUUAUCUUGACGAUAUUCUGUUUAAAAUGUUUUUAUUUUGAAAGGCAUGACAUUGAUAUGGUUCUUUUACACAUAACAAACAAACAUCACAGCAACAAAGGAGGAAAAAAAAGGAAAAGAUACAUAUACAUACAUAUACAUCCUGGCCACCCCCCUUCCCAACACAAACUACAUUCAAGAAUCGGUUCCUUCUACGAGAUGAGUGACUAAAGGUUGCCAAAUUUUCUCAAAAUCUUUUAGCUUAAUAAUAAAUCGGAUUUUCUCAAGGUGGAGUGUGUCUACUAUAAGCCAUAGUUUCAGUGUUGGGACUUCUUUCUUUUUCCAAAAUAAUCAAAUGAGUUUUUUCGCGGUGAUGAGGCCAUAUGCCAGAAGGCGCUUUUGUGCCACGUUUAGUUCCCUUACAACAUCCGAUACCCCCAGAAUUAUUAAAAUAGGAACUGGGUCUAUCUGAACCUUCAAUAUUUUUGACAAAAAAG